Molecule: ribosomal RNA, 468 nt
Filed under: uncultured bacterium
Lineage: Bacteria
Description: partial 16S ribosomal RNA
Rfam family: Bacterial small subunit ribosomal RNA
Source: RNAcentral
GAUGAACGCUGGCGGCGUGCUUAACACAUGCAAGUCGAACGGCAAGGCCCUAGCUUGCUUGUGUUCUCGAGUGGCGGACGGGUGAGUAACACGUGGGUGAUCUGCUCUGCACUUUGGGAUAAGCCUGGGAAACUGGGCCUACUACCGUACAGGACGAGAGCUUGGAUUCCAUUGUGGAAAGUUUUUUCGGUGGGGGAUGAGCUCGCGGCGUAGCAGCUUGUUGGUGGUGUAAUGGCCUACCAGGGCGACGACGGGUAUCCGUCAUGAGAGGGUGUACGUCCACACUGGAACUGAAAUGCGGGCCGGAGUCCUGAGGGAGGCAGCAGUGGGGAAUGUUGGACAAUGGGCGAAAGCGUGAGGGAGGGAGGCCGCGUGGGGGAUGAGGGCUUUCGGGGGGUAAGAACCGUUCGCGGGGGACGCAGCGUUGUUGUGACGGUACCUGGAGAAGAAGCACCGGCUAACUACGUG